CUGGCGGCGUGCUUACACAUGCAAGUCGAGCGAUGAAAUUACUUCGGUAGUGAAUUAGCGGCGAACGGGUGAGGAACACGUGAGGAAUCUGCCUUCUACACUGGGAUAACUCCGGGAAACCGGGGCUAAUACCGGAUACGAAACUUGGUGGCAUCACCGAGUUUGGAAAGUUUUUCGGUAGAAGAUGACCUCGCGGCCUAUCAGCUUGUUGGUGAGGUAAUGGCUCACCAAGGCGACGACGGGUAGCCGGCCUGAGAGGGCGACCGGCCACACUGGGACUGAGACACGGCCCAGACUCCUACGGGAGGCAGCAGUGGGGAAUAUUGGGCAAUGGAGGAAACUCUGACCCAGCGACGCCGCGUGCGGGAUGAAGGCCUUCGGGUUGUAAACCGCUUUCAGUAGGGAAGAAGCGAAAGUGACGGUACCUACAGAAGAAGCACCGGCUAACUAUGUGCCAGCAGCCGCGGUAAUACAUAGGGUGCAAGCGUUGUCCGGAAUUAUUGGGCGUAAAGAGCUCGUAGGUGGUUCGUUACGUCGGAUGUGAAAAUCUGGGGCUCAACCCCAGACCUGCAUCCGAUACGGUCGAGCUAGAGUUUGGUAGGGGAGACUGGAAUUCCUGGUGUAGCGGUGGAAUGCGCAGAUAUCAGGAGGAACACCAAUGGCGAAGGCAGGUCUCUGGGCCAAUACUGACACUGAGGAGCGAAAGCGUGGGGAGCGAACAGGAUUAGAUACCCUGGUAGUCCACGCCGUAACGGUGGGCGCUAGUUGUGGNANCUUCCACGGUUUCUGCGACGCAGCUAACGC
This 804-nucleotide ribosomal RNA is filed under the name uncultured Actinomycetes bacterium. RNAcentral describes it as "bacterial SSU rRNA". It matches the Rfam family "Bacterial small subunit ribosomal RNA", at positions 36 to 858 of the family's 1533-position model. Lineage: Bacteria; Bacillati; Actinomycetota; Actinomycetes. The record is from RNAcentral.